GCAUUUUUUGUGAUCAGGUGAUGUGAUGUAUGAGUAUGAGAGAGGAAGAGAAAUAUACUAAAAAAAAAAAUUACUCAAACUCGGACAAAGACUAUCUCACUUUGCCAAACACGCUCUCUCUCUCUCUCUCUCAAAGCACGCCUCUCUCACUUUGCCGAAUUCCAAGCUUCCUCCUACAACAGAGUGAGAAUCAAAAUCACCGGCUUUCAAGGUAUCUUCUUCUCAUUUCGUAUCUUCCUCCUCCUAUCAUUACUCUCUUAUACGUCUAAAUUUCCAAAACCCUAAAAUUUCUGCAAAUUCUUGUUUUGGGUGAAAAAUCUAUGACUAAAUCAAGGAUUUUAAUUCUGAACAAAUGGAAUUUGUACAGUUAAAAAGGUACUACUUAGGUAUAGAAUUUUCGAGACAGAGCAAAGAAUUUGUACAUUUAGUGAACUGCAAAUUUCUUCCAAGAGUUGAAAUUAUGGGCUGAUUGAUGCGGAUUGAUAUGUUUUCUGUUUCACUGAGGCUAUGCUGAAUUGGUACAAAAUAAUAAGAAAUGAAAAGGAAAUUGAAAGUGAGAUUAAAAAAAAAUAUUCCAUGUUACACUAGAUUUUACAAGUAUUUGCUUGAUUUUAUGUUUUUUAAAGUGUGUAUAUAAUUGGACAUAUUAUCAUCAGUGGGUUUUACAGAGCAAAGAAUUUAUACAUUUAAUGAACUGCAAAUUUCUUUUAAGAGUUGAAAUUAUGGUCUGAAACCAACUUUUAGAGCUCCUCAAACUUGAUUAAAAUCUGAUCCAUCCGUGUGGUUGAUGCCUCCUCACCUAGAACAAAAUAAGUACAUAUAAAAUGUGUGUUUCUGAUAGACUUUUUUUUUAGCAUUGGUUUACCUUUACACCGGCCAUUGAUAAAAGUUUGUGAGAAGCAACAUAGGCACUUUCUGAAUUCUCCAACUUCUUUUCCACAUAAUAGAUAACUUCCAGACUGCAGUUGUAGAAAUAAAAUAUUAGCAAACAAUAAGAUCCAGAUGAAGUAAUGGAAAAUUAAAAAGAAGAAAGAGUAAGACCUACAUGCUACCAAUGGUAUUGGUGAUUAUAAUCAACUUUGACUGACCGUGUCUAAUGUCUUUGCCACUUGUGAUUGAUAGGUUUGGUGAAACAGAUACAACUUAUUUAGUCUAUGUAUGUGAUUUGCAAAGUAAGCAGCCAAGCCAUUAAAAUAAGUUUUUUCCGGCUGUACCUGAAAAGUAUGGGAAAUGGAACCCAACUUAUAUCUCUUAUGGAAGUUAAUUCUCCUCUAGACUCUUGUGGGCUAUUCAGAAUGAUUUGAAUUUUGAAAGUCUUUUAUCUUUGGUAGAUUUAGCCGAGGCUUUUCAUAUUUGCUAACAUUCGCGUAUUACUUUGGUAGAUUUGCACUAUCAAAUUAAUAUAUAAUGGGGUUCUUGGUUGUUUGUGAAGAUUUGAAUAAGUACGUGCUUAAGCUGUUAUGGUAACUCUUUAAAACUAAAGUUGUUAAAUAGGGGAUUAGAUAAUGUAUGUUAUGCCAAUUCUUAGCUCGUUACAUACUUGUAUUAUUUUGUGUUAGAUUUGGAUUAAUCAAAUGUGAGCUUAAAUGUGUAAUUAAAAUUGUCCCCUACAGUGUAAUUUGCUUACCAUUGAUAUUAGUUUGUUUAUCCUUUCAAUCUUAAUUGAUAAAUUCUAAAUAAUAUUGAAUAUGCAGGUUUGCUUUUAUGUUUUCUGGUAAACUAAUUUAAUGUCAUACACUUUUUUACAUAUCUAUGGCAUGUAGUUAAUAUAUUUUUAUAAAUUUGCAGAAAUAGCAUGUAGUGAUGAGUUUAAUUCAAGUAUGAGAAUAAAUGAUAUUGAAGAAUAUGUUAUGGUUGAGGAUUUAAUAGAGAGUAAAGAAGUUGAUGAAGUCAUUAGAGAUCCGAAAGUAGGAAUGGAGUUUGUUUCCGUUGAUUUAUACAUGGAAUCCAUGGUGAAAAUAAGAUCAAUGGAAAAAUGAGAAAAUGGAGAGACUAAAUUUGUGGUUCUUGCAUGUGCUCGGUCAAGAUGUUCAAUAAGCAAGUCAAAGAAUGCCUUCAACUUACGCCCUGUUAGCAAAAUUGGUUGCAAUGCUAAAGAUUAGGGUUGCAGUAGUCGAAGACGGAAAAGUGCAAGUAAAGACUAACACUUGAUCAUAAUCAUCAGUUGAGCACGAAAAAAUCUAGAUUUUAUAAGAAAAAUCGGAUUAUGAGCGCGUAUGUGAAAAGGAAACUUGAACUUAACGAUAGAGCUGGUAGUAGACCAAAUAAAAAUUUUAGUUCUUUUCACAGAAGUGCCUAUGUGGAAAAGAAGUUGGAGAAUUCAGAAAUUGCCUAUGUUGCUUCUCACAAACUUUUAUCAAUGGCAGGUGUAAAGGUAAAACAAUGCUAAAAAAAAUUAAAAUGUCUAUCAGAAACACACAUUUUAUAUGUACUUAUUUUGUUCUAGGUGAGGAGACUUCAACCACGGAUGGAUCAGAUUUUAAUAAAGUUUGAGGAGCUCUAAAAGUUGGUUUCAGCCCAUAAUUUCAACUCUGGAAAGAAAUUUGCAGUUCACUAAAUGUAUAAGUGAGAGAGAGAGUCUUUGUCCGGAUUUGAGUAAUAUUUUUUGGUUUCUCUUCCUCUCUCAUACUGAUGUAGCACAACCACAUCUCCCGGUCACAAAAAAUGUCCCUAAACCAAUGUCGCCUUAGAAUUAUUAAACUUUAUUGCUUAUAAUUUCACGUGAGUCGCAAUUUAACUCGUCAUAAAAUUGUCUGACACAAAAAUAUUUUUUCAUCUAAUUAUUUUACUUUUAAAAAGUCUAAUAUAAAGAACAACAUUAAAAUAUAAAAUAAUAAUUUAAUUUUUUUACAAUAAAUAUUUAGUUUUGUGUUUGUAUUUUUGUUUUACUCCGGAAUUUUCAAAUUCCAAACAUACAACAAUUUAUGUUGGAGGAAUUUUGUGUCAUACUCCGUCCGUCUUCAAUAGGAAGAUUAAAGUAUAAAUUUUACAAAUAUUAAAAAAAUGAAAAUAGAGAAAAAAGAAUAAAUAAAAUUUUAAAUUUCUGUUACACAAAAUUCAUAAAGUAAUGAGUACUUUUUAGGGGUAUUUGUUACAGAUCACAAUAGAUAUCCAACUAAACAUAGAUGACUAAUAUCUAAUUACACCGGUAAUAGAAAAUGAUAAUAUUGUGUCAUUUCUGUUUGGUAUAAGAUACGUGAUUACCGGUAACUAUUAUUGUGAGUCUUUGAUAUGAAUUUAAGAUUAUUGGGAAUAUUUUUUUCUUCUAAUAUUGAUCUUUUUCUAAAAUAUUAUUGUGUUAAUUUUAGUUGAAUGAUUCAACCAUAUUAUUAUUGUCAAAUGUAAUCAACAGUUAUCAAAAUACUAUCGAACUAAUUAAUUUGCAUUACUUAGUAAAUCGUAUUAAAAAUUUUAAUAUAUUUGUAAAAUAACAAUUAUUGAUUUGUUUAAUUAUUAUGCACAAAGUUUUCAAAUAUGUUGUUAAUAAUAAAUUAAAGUUAUAAUAAUAAAUAACAAACAGUGUCACAUUACUUUGUAUAAACAAUGAGUUAUUUUAGUUAAACUAAAUAUGUCGACAAAAAAAACAUAAAAUAAAAUAAAAUUACGUGACUCAUAAGGAUAUUUAUGUCUGUUAUAAAAUUAUAACAUAUAUUUAUGGAUGUCUAGAUUUAUAUUUAAUUGUAAUGAUCUUUCAUAUUUUGGAACUCCCAAGUUCAUUAAGUAACUCCUAUGUUCAUUAAGUUUUAAGCUCAUGACUUUUGAGUUUUGAAAUUUUCAAGUCCAUGUAUCUAUAAAUAAGAGCAUGAGCAUUGUAAUAGUGAAUGAGGAUGGAUAUAUAAAUGAUAUAUAUGAAAAUAUUAUGAGACAUGCCUCUUUUCUCUAAUCAUUUUAUUCUUAAUUUUAGUAAUUUUUUAUAACACGUUAUCAGCACGAAUUGUUUCUCACAUUCGUUUUGAAGAUAAUUAUAUUUGAUUUGAAGGAUAAGGUAUAUUUAUCUAUUAUACAUAUAUGGAUACACAAAUUUUUUAGUAUAACAUACUGCAUGUUAUUCUAUUCAUAAUCUAUUAUUAGAGUUUGUUGUUCUUGGUUCUAGCAUGCUAAUGACUGUCAUACUCAUAUGUAAGUCAUCAUCACACCACCCUUAAAUUGUUUUGUUGUUAUACGGUGUAAUAUCUAACCUCAAUUAUUGUGCAGUGUUUAUUUUUAUAAAAGUGUAUUGUAAUUUUGCAUUCCUUCCAGUCUAAAUAAAUCAAAAGGGAUCCGAUAGAAUAUAUGAUGUUUUAGUUCUUUUUAGUUCUCGUACUAAAACAAUCUUUUGAUAUAUUUCUAAAGAUUUUUGACAUAUUUCCUUUUGGCAUGCGUGAUAGCAUAUUUGAUAUAUUUCUAAUAACCUUUUGAAAAAUUUUUGUAUGAAGUUACAAUGACAAAUAUGCUUAGUAGUAUUGGUUUGUUAUUUUUAGUGGACAAAUUUAGUUUCGUGUUGAGUGAAAAACACUGAUGAAGACAUAUUAGAGAAAAUAUUUAUUAUAUUUCAUGCCUCGAAUAUGCUCUUGCAGUAGCAAUAUCGAGAGCGUAAGUUUACAGAAUAUUCCCUGAAGCGAUAAAGGAAACUAUGUUUCCAAAAGUGAAAUUAUGUCUUCUAGUCGCUGUACAAAAUAAUAGUUUUUGCUGAAAAACCAAUAAUCUCGCUCGACCGAUUCUAUUACAUUCCCUGAAGUGAAUGGAACCUCAUUUGAUAAUCAUAGAGGAAAUUAUGAUUAUGAUUGUGGUAUUAGACGUGAAAGGAACAAUCAAUAUAGAAAAAGGAAUGUACCUGUCGUACUCCUAAACAUUUGAUAUAUAGAUUUGUACCAAGACUCCAUAAAAGAAAAGAAAAUGGAAUUGAAAUAAACUUUAUUGUUCAUAAUGAUCCUGAAGAUCCCAUGAAUUAUUUUGACUUUUCAAAUGGAGUGGAUAUAACUAAUUUUGAUAUCUAUGGUUUCAUUGAUGAUAUGUUGAUAGAGAUGUUCAUACCAAUUAAUUAUUUUUAUUUCAUUAUAUUAUGACAUUAUAAUAAGUAUUUUUAUUAUAUAUUUUAUUUAUAUUUCAAGUGAUAAAGUUAAAUUUAUGUUUUGCAUAUAUGAAGUUGUAUGGGCCAGAAGCUCAUCAAACUUAAUUAAAGUCUCUGGAAGAGCGAUUAUAAUGUUGUCAAAAGGGCACAAAACUUUGUAUUGAUGAUUCUUUAUAUUCUUCUGAGGCAAGCAAAAAUUUGCUCAGUUUUAAGGAUAUACGUCAUAAUGGUUAUCAUAUUGAAACCAACAUUGAAGGUAGUAAAGUAAUUUCUUUAUAUUACUUCAAUACUAUCGGGCCAGAAACUCAUAUUAGAAAAAUUGUAUAUUUUCUCUUCUGGGAUAUAUUAUACUAAAAUAAGAAUAGUUGAAAUAAAUGUUAUAAUACACCAGAAGUGUUCGGAUCCAAAAAGGUUUUUAUGAUUUGACAUUCCAGGAUCAAUAAUGUUGCGUUGAAUUAUUGAAAACUCCCAUGAACAUCCCGUAAGGAACCAGAAGAUUCCUUUACUUGUUGAUUAUAUCAAAGUAAAUUAAUUACCAAUAUAUGCUUGGGGUCAUGUUAUUAAUAACCUCAAUAAGUGAUAUUUUUAAGGUAUAUUUUGAGGAUUGUUAUUUCAAUAAAACAGUCUUCCCACCAUUAGGGGGAGAAAAGUUGUUCCUGAAGCACGACGUUAGAUCGUUGCCUGAAGCACAAUGAGAGAUUAAUUGAAAUGUUUCAACGUUAUGUAAUCCUAAUUCUCAUAUAAAUCAAUAUGAACUAGAAGUUCAAAGGAUUAUUCAUUUGCAAUGAAUUGCAAAUCAAUUACUAGAAUUAUUCACCGAUAAUAAGAAAAGUGUGAUAUCUCACAUUUUAGUUGCUAAUACUCUAGAAGAGAUUGAAGUCCCUGUAGGACAAUCAGUUAAUACAUCAACAAAUUGAAUCAAAAUCACACUUGAAACAUGGAAGAAUGAUCGGUAUUAAAGAUAAAAUUUCCCAGAAUUGCAGCCUAUAAAGAGGCUAUACCCAUGAAACAGACUACAAAAUUUAUGAACAAAAUCUCCUAUAAAUAAAACUCUUGAAGAGUUAUCUCCUGAAGAGGAUGAGUUAUCCCCUGAAGAGGACCAGGUACCUGAAAAUAACGAGAUCUCGAUAUAUUAUGAAUAUAAAGGAGACGAAUAUAUUGGAUAGAAAUAAAAUUGUUGUCGAUAACAUAUUUUUAUAUAAAGUUGUUCUUGAUAUUACCAGAAGUAAUGAUCAUGAAUAUGAACCACAAAUUGUUGAUGAAUGUAGAAAUAUUUGGCCAAUGUGAAAAAAAAGGCGAUUCAAGUAGAACUAAAUUCAUAAAGUAAACGUGAAAUUUUUGGACCUGUAGACCGAACACCUGAAGGUGUAAUGCCUGUUAGAUACAAAUGGAUAUUUGUACAAAAUAGGAAAAAUAAAAUUAUAUGGUACAAAGCGCGACUUGUAGCACAAGGUUUCUCGCAGAGACCUAGUAUUAAUUAUGGAGAAACAUAGGCUCCUGUAAUGGACGCAAUUAUAUUCAAAUUUUUAAUUAGCUUGGUAGCAAAAGAAAAUUUGGAUAUAAGAUUAAUGAAUGUUGUUACAACAUAUCUGUAUGGAUCAUUAGAUAAUGAUCAUAUAUACAUAAAAAAUCCUGAAGGAUAUAAAAUGCCUGAAGCAUAUAAUUCUACAUCUCGAAGUAUGUAUUCUAUUAAAGUUACAAAGAUCUUUAUAUCAGUUAAAGCAAUCCAGAUACAUAUUGUGGUAUAAUCGCCUGAGUAGAUAUCUUUUAAAAGAAGGAUUUGAGAAUAAUCUAAAAUUGUUGUCGAUAACAUAUUUUUAUAUAAAGUUGUUCUUGAUAUUACCAGAAGUAAUGAUCAUGAAUAUGAACCACAAAUUGUUGAUGAAUGUAGAAAUAUUUGGCCAAUGUGAAAAAAAAGGCGAUUCAAGUAGAACUAAAUUCAUAAAGUAAACGUGAAAUUUUUGGACCUGUAGACCGAACACCUGAAGGUGUAAUGCAUGUUAGAUACAAAUGGAUAUUUGUACAAAAUAGGAAAAAUAAAAUUAUAUGGUACAAAGCGCGACUUGUAGCACAAGGUUUCUCGCAGAGACCUAGUAUUAAUUAUGGAGAAACAUAGGCUCCUGUAAUGGACGCAAUUAUAUUCAAAUUUUUAAUUAGUUUGGUAGCAAAAGAAAAUUUGGAUAUAAGAUUAAUGAAUGUUGUUACAACAUAUCUGUAUGGAUCAUUAGAUAAUGAUCAUAUAUACAUAAAAAAUCCUGAAGGAUAUAAAAUGCCUGAAGCAUAUAAUUCUACAUCUCGAAGUAUGUAUUCUAUUAAAGUUACAAAGAUCUUUAUAUCAGUUAAAGCAAUCCAUAUACAUAUUGUGGUAUAAUCGCCUGAGUAGAUAUCUUUUAAAAGAAGGAUUUGAGAAUAAUCUAAUUUGUGCAUGCAUUUUUAUCAAAAGAUCAUAAUAUGGAUUUGUUAUUAUUACUGUAUUUAUUGAUGAAAGAUUUUGCUCCAGAAGAGUUGACAAAAAUAACAAAUUUGAGAUGAAAGAUAUUGGUAAGACAAAUUUGUAUCUUGGCCUACAAAUUGAACUAUGGAAUUCUUGUUCAUCAAUCAAAAUACAUAAAAAAAGUCCUGAAGUAACUUUACAUGGAUAAUGUUAAUCCUUUGAGUAAUUCAAUGAUAGAUUGGUCACUUGAUAUCAAGAAAGAUUCGUUUUGAUCACAAGAAAAUAAUGAAGAAAUUCUUGGUCCUGAAGUACCAUAUCUUUGUACAAUUGGUUUCUUGGUCCUGAAGUACCAUAUCUUUCUACAAUUGGUGCUUUGAUGUAUAUUGUAAAAUUUCUCAUGACCUGAUAUAGCAUUUGCAGUUAACUUACAAGCAAUAUGGAUCAAAACCACAGUUAGUUGGAUCUGCUGAUGCAGAGAUUAUCAUAAUUUAUGGAGUAAGUUGUGAAUGUAUUUAGUUGAGAUCAGUAAUUCAACAUAUUUGUGUGAAAUGUGGAUUAUCAUUAAUCAUAAAUAGUCCAACGAUAUUAUAUGAAGAUAAUAUCGCUUGUAUCACUCAAAUUAGAGGAUGUUAUAUCAUGGGUGAUAGAACCAAGCAUAUUGCACCAAAAUUAUUUUGAGCCCCAGAAGAAUGGCGAUAUUGAUAUCAAGCAUAUAUGAUCAUGUGAUAAUUUGGUUGAUAGAUUCAUUAAGUCAUUACCAACUAUGAUUUUGAAGAAGAUGGUGCACAAUAUUGGCAUGUUUCGACUUAAUGAUAUUUUUACCAUGAACAAUGGAAAUUCUAUGUACUUAUGAAAGGAAGUAAAAAGGAUAUGUGCUGAUUGUACUCUUUUUCCUUCACUAAGGUUUUUUUUCCACUGGGUUUUUCCUUUGCAAGGUUUUAAUGAGGCAAUCCCAAGGCAUUAGAAGUUAUACAAGAAUAUUGUACUCUUUUCCUUAGCCAAAAUUUUUUUCACUGGAUUUUUAUUUGGUAAGGUUUUUAACGAGGCAUAUUCUUAGAAAAUUGCUACAAAAGGACUCCAUCCAUUAUGUAUGAAGACAAUGCUGCAUGUUUGAAGACAUUACCAACUACAAUGUUUGAAGGAUUGCGUCGCAAUAUUGGAAUGCAGCGGCUGGAGGACUUAAUGAUACAUUCAUGAGGGGGAGCUUAUACGCACUGCACUAUUUUUCCCUUAAUCAAGAUUUUUUUUUCCCAUUGGAUUUUUCUAGUAAGUUUUUAAUGAGGCAGUUUUCUAUGCGUAUG
Molecule: long non-coding RNA, 8785 nt
Filed under: Panax ginseng (ginseng)
Lineage: Eukaryota; Viridiplantae; Streptophyta; Magnoliopsida; Apiales; Araliaceae
Description: long non-coding RNA (PGIN_LNC016972)
Source: RNAcentral